GACGAACGCUGGCGGCGCGCCUAAUACAUGCAAGUCGAACGGGCACACUUCGGUGUGCUAGUGGCGGACGGGUGAGUAACACGUGGGUGACCUGCCCUGUAGUGGGGAAUAACCCUGGGAAACCAGGGCUAAUACCGCAUACGCUUAGCUAUUCAGUUGGCUAAGUAAAGAUUAAUCGCUACAGGAGGGGCCUGCGGCGGAUUAGCUAGUCGGUGGGGUAAUGGCCUACCGAGGCAACGAUCCGUAGCUGGUCUGAGAGGACGACCAGCCACACUGGGACUGAGACACGGCCCAGACUCCUACGGGAGGCAGCAGUAAGGAAUAUUCCACAAUGGACGCAAGUCUGAUGGAGCGACGCCGCGUGAGCGAAGAAGCCCUUCGGGGUGUAAAGCUCUUUUCCCAGAGAUGAAAACGGAC
Molecule: ribosomal RNA, 417 nt
Filed under: uncultured bacterium
Lineage: Bacteria
Description: bacterial SSU rRNA
Rfam family: Bacterial small subunit ribosomal RNA
Source: RNAcentral